Non-coding RNA from Taeniopygia guttata (zebra finch), 14679 nucleotides. The record is from RefSeq and is a predicted model, not a curated record. NCBI's taxonomy places the organism in Eukaryota, Metazoa, Chordata, Aves, Passeriformes, Estrildidae.
AUUCCUUUGUUCUUUAGAGUCACUGCUUCUGCAGGGUGGGAUGGAUGUGAUGCCAUUUUUUGCCUUGACUAUACUUUGUCACACAGGUCCUUCCCAAACACAAGUAUCAUAUGGAUGCACUGCUGUGUCUUGAGGGCAGCAGGCAUCUCCUGCUGUCCCAUGGUGAGAGGUCCAGGUCCUACAUUCAUCUUCAGGGUCUGCUCAAGCUCCUCUUCACCAAGAACCUCUUUCUGAAGUUUCUCAGCAUCCACCGAGGUUGACAGCCAGGCACCAGGAAGGGAGAUUCAUGGCUGGUAAGCACCACAAAUCCCCUGCAGAAUACCUUUUUGGCCUCCAGUUUCCCCAUCUAUAAGCCAAGCACUUUUAAAUAGUGUGCUCUUUGAGACACAGCUUUCUGUUCUGUCAGACAACAGGGACUUUUGGAAAACCUCCAGGUAGUGUCUGAAAUCAGAUUAGCUGAUAUAUCACAUACCAAGAGUAAUCCCAGAUUGUGGGGGCUGUUCUUAACAUCUCCAUGGAUGUCCCAGAGUUGGCUUGAUUGGAGGCAAGGAAUACCAUGGAAACAGGACUGGGUGGAGAGGCUUGGGCAGUGGGGAGGCUUUGCAGGGGUCAGGAGUGCUGGAAAGUGUCUGUCUGUCUGGAAAUAGAAGAAGGAGUGGGCUGGAUAGAGGAGACCACCACUCCUUUAAUGACUGCUGUGAGAGCUGCCACCUCUGCUGCCUAGUGCUGGCCAGAUCCAUGGUGUGACUGCUCAUCUCCAGCUCUCUGUGCCUCACAUGCUGCUUUUCCUAUAAAUAGUCCGGUGGGAAGCGGAGCAUGGAGCCACCACAGAUGGCCCCCAGUUACACAUGCAGUCGUGUGUGUGAUCCCAGAGAGGAGCUGUCAAUACUUUGCCUCGAGCCACCCAUGAAACCUCAUUAAAAAUGAUGUCCUCUUCCUUCACCCCUGUCACCCCCUCACUUCCCACUCCGACUCGCCUGCAUUCAGGCACCCUUAUUAAACAUGCACUUCUAAGCAAGGAGCGCUGACUUCCCCUUAAUUGAGGCAUAAUAAUUAGAGCAUUAACACAUUAGGAGGGUGAGACAGCAUGUUUAGCUUUUGUGAUUAAUUAUCUGAGGAUUGUAAUAAGUUGUUAAGACAUUAAUUACUCUGGCAUGUUUAUUGCUCUUUAUUGCAGAACAGACACUUGGUAGCAGCAAGUGCUGGCUCGUCUGGAAAUAGAGUCAGAAGUGGUCUGAUGGGAGCAGACCACCUACUCAUCCUCAAAACAGUGAGCUGCUGCUGGUGGCAACAAGGUGGAGAAAUCCCCCUUGGUGACCAAAUAGGUUUAUUUCUUACAGAUGGAUGUAGAAAUGGUACCCGAGUCCCUUAGGACAGUCCAGGACCUGGAAAGUCCUUCCUGAUCUUUUAAUCUGGAUUAUUCUCCUCUUUCAAAUGAAGUGUUUCCUUCCUGAUGCUUUGAGCUCCCCUUGAUUCGGGUCAUUGUGUUGCCAAGUUUGGUUAGCAUGGGUCAGUCUCUGUCUGGAUCUCACCAGGAAGAUUGUCUGUAUUAAAGACAGGCUGAAGUUUGGAGCAUCAGCAGAGGCCAAGGAAUGAACCAGGACUCCAGUGGCCUCCCUCACCCUGCCACUGGAUGAGUUUUCCUUUGGAGUUUGGGGAAGUAGGUUAGGGGAGGGGCUGGACAGGUUUGGACUGCUGUAGCCUCCUGUUUGCACAGCAAGCUCCUCUGUGUCCCCUACACAGCUCCAGGUGGGUCUGUCAGGCUGGGACUGAUGGCAGAGUUCAGGGCUGCAGGAGGAGUGGUUCUUUUGUGUUCCUGAAACUCUGAGAAAGAGAAAAGACAACGUCAUAAAAAAGAUAUGUCAUCAAAUCAGCAGGGUGACGUGGUGGAGCUGUUCCCAGUCUCCUGCUCUUCCCAUGACACACUCAUGCUGAUGGACCCCCCUGCCCUCUCCUUGCAGUUUUCUGGCUGGCAGGAACACGGGAGAUGUGAUGGCAGCCCCAACACCUGUAACAGAUAAAGAAAUUUGGGAAUAUUAUGGAAAACAAGAGGGUGGGGAAGCCAUAGGAGCAGUGUGCUGAUACCAAUUUCUUUUGGGAUCCCUGGAACCCAGUGUUUCCUGUCUCUAGGCUGUUCUGUAUCCUCAUGUUAUUGCAACACUUGCCUGUUUCUGCUGGAUGCAUGGAGCAGGGCAGGAAGGGGGCUCUGUUGCCUCUUUUUAGAGUUAAAACAGAAGAUGAUCCUGACAAGUCUUUGUCCUUCCAAGACUGUCCCAGUGGUCACUUUCCCCGUGGCUUCCACCAGCUCAAGCCAGUGUCACUGUCACUCAGUUGUGUGAAUGGCUGUGGAGGAAAAUUCCCUUCCGUGUGUAUAAUCUGGGAUCUGCCUUGUGUCAGCUGAAUGUGAUUUGCUGCCUUCAGCCCCUCAGAGCCUGGUCUGGCUCUCGCUGGCCCAGCCUGGGAUUGGCAUUCACUGUCAGGGACCUGCUCUCUGCAUUCAGAGCAUGGCAUGUGCCAGCCUGGCAUUCCCUGCUCCACCCUGGGGACAAGGCAGGUCAUGACUUAUGCAUUUUAUCAUUACAAAGAGAAUUUCCUCUAGAUGUGUGCAAUAAGCAGUGGUGCUGACCUGUGAUCCUGGAACUGAGCAGCGUUAAUGACUCCCCUUUGCAGGUAAUAAGCAGCAAAUGUACACAUUUUGGGGAGAUCUGAAUAUUUUUUUCUCUUUUUAAGACUGCUGUCUUCCUAGGCCAGACUUAAUUAGCAGACCUCAUUAUUUCCUGAAAUGUAACUUGACUUCUAUUGAAUGAGAAUUGUUCAGUGGAUGGGAAGCAGCAGAGCAGUGCUGCAAUAUUCAUAUUGUUUUAAUUGCAACAUUAACAUUUCAUGCCGCUCUUGGCACACUUUCAGGUGCGGCCCUUCAGCUCAGUGCAACACUGUGAAAGGCUGGAUCAGAACAAUUAGGAUAGAGUGACUGGAUUUCUGGAUUUUCUUUUUUUUUUUUUUUUUCCCUUCUAUUUUAAUGAACAUAAGCUUGAAUUCAGUCCCCAUCCCUCCUUUUGUUGGGCAGAACAAGGAGUCACCCCCCCUGGAGUGUAAAUCCUUUUUUGGUUGUUUUUUUUUUUUUUUUUUUUUUUGAUUAAAGGAUGUGCUGUAGCACAUGUUUAAAUUGUCUUUCUGUGGAGCUGAAGCCCCACAGGUACAAGUGAUACGUGAUCCACCAGGCUGAAGGUGCCUCCUGGGACUUGACCUUUACCAGGUGAAUCAGAGAAGUCCCAGAAUGUGUCUGGCCAGCUGGGACAGUGUCACAAAUGAGCUGGAGGGAAAAAUGUUAUUUCUCACUUCUCAGUUUCUGCCAGGGCUCUGCAAUGCCUGAAGCUGGAAAUGACACUUGGAACAGGGAGAAGCAGGAGGCUGCUGUAUCCCCUUCAGAAGGAAGAAGAGGAGUUUCUGAGGCUCAUUCUUUCCUCCUGGGGGAAGGACGCCCAUGCUGCUGCCUGCCAGCCCCGUGCUGGUGCCAGCAGGUCUGUACUGGGGCUGGUGGGCAGCAAGGACCUGUGUGUGGAGGAAUGGGCUCCCCCUCAAGUGCCACCCAUCAAUCAACAGCUAAUGAGCAGCUCGAUGUGCAAGUGAUCCUGCUGAGAGCUCACCAGGCACUGCUCCGACUCUGGCCUGCCUUCCUGGCAUUCCCUGGCAGCAGUCUGUGGAUGAAACCUCUUUCUGGAAGGUGAAAUCUCUGUCCGUGCAGUGGAGAGGCAGUGGGAGAGUUGUGGGGGUGAGGGAGCUGCUCGGCCAGUGGGUUCUCCCCUUGGAGCUGGGCAUGUCACUUCCAUUUUAGGCAGCAGCUGAACUCAUCCAUAAGUCUGGGAUGGUAAUUAAGGCUGGAAAUGUAGAAGGACUUCAGCUUGGUCUCUUGAAGAAGGGCUAGGGAAGGGCACAUAUUCCAUUUCCAUGGGCUUUCCAAAGGCUAACAUGCCAUCUUACUGACUGGCUCUCCUAUCAGCUGAACAGGCCUGAAACCUUCUCCUGUUGGUACUAUGUGCAGUGGCAUCCAUGAAAUCUCUUCUCUGGAUGUACAGUUUGGGUUUGCAGUCUCUGGUGCCCAGUAAGUCAUUUGUGCUGAAUGGAGCAUCUCCCUUUCCUGGGAUAUUUAUAGCAUCUCUCCCACACAGAUUGUCUGAUGUCUAAUAAGGGAUGAUACACUACAGUUUGGAUGGUGCUAAUAAUGUCUCUCCUUGUUUGGUAGUCUGUUCCCAUGAAAUUUAUAGACUGACUGUCUCCAAGACCUCUGUUGCUCUGUCACAUCAGCUUGAAAUCUGUUUGCAGUGUCAGAAGUUGCUGGGGAGUGGGCAGAGGAGAUGCAGCAGCAUUGCCUGUGCCUUGCGCUCCUUGGGAAACCAGGCUGAAAAUGAUGCGGGGACGGGGGAGCUGUGGCUGGGGUCAGGGGGCAGCGGGUUUGGGAAGGUCCCGGGGGUGUUGGAGGAAGGCGAUGAGCUGCUGGCCCCUUGUGGGAACCAGCGGACAAUAAAGGAGCCAGCCCCGAGCUCCUGGCUGGUGUGAAGAAUUGCCUGGCUAAAGGAUAAUGAAUGCCACAGCAGGAGACGAAGCGUUUCUCUGAGGCCAUUCAUCCCCUUUAUCACCCUGCUAACAAGCCCCAGAGCGACUUUAGAGAGCCUUCUCUGGAGCAGCAGCAUCCCUCAGCCCUGCUGCUGGCUGGGUGCUGGGGGUCAGGGAUGCUGCGUGUGGCAGGAGGGCUCAGCAGGAAAACCACGGACCACCUCUCGAAUAACAGCCCCGGGCUUGGACCUCUGCUCUGGGGACUGUGCCUUGGCUUUGGUUUGGCUGGCGUGGAGACCAUACCCUCCUUCAGGUCGUGCGUGGUGCCACCUGAGAGAUCCAAAUGUAAAAGCCAAGCAUCCAUCUUUUUUAAAGUACUUCUGGGCAGCACCUGCAGCACCCUUAGGAGGAUGGCUCCAUCCUAAGUCCCAGCUUGCCUAAGAUUUAAGAUCUGUAAGAGUUAUACAAGACCCAAGAGGAGUUUGGGGCUGCCAGCACGUAGGUAAGUUGGUUCUGCUUCACUUGCAGUGCAUCUGAGGCUGUGCGUGAGCCUUGUGAGAGGAGGAAAGGGCAGGAGUGCUGUGCUCUUCAUAAGAGCUAAUAAAAGCUAAUCCAUCCCAUUGCUCCAAGACACUGGGAAGCAUUAGUGGCUGGCUGAGUGCCUCCUCCACCGUGGCAGCGUGCUGUGUGCCUCUGCCUUCCCGCUGGCUGGGAGCAAAGCGUGUCCUCCCGUGGUGGGGAAGGCAUCUCUGGCAGAGCUGUGCUGCCUGAGCUGCUCCCUGUGGCUGUCAUGCCUCCUGAGAAGGAAAAACUGCCAGAGAACCUGGACAGGUGAGUCUGGGAAUGAGGAUGGACAUCCCUUGGGCAUUCUCUCAUGGCAGGCCUCAGCCCAAGCAAGUGCCUUGCCUCUGCUGCAGGAGUUGGGCCAUGGCUUGUGGGAGCAGAGGAGAGCAUCACCUCUGAUUUGACUGCUAUAUAUAAGACCCUCAGAAAGGCUGGAGCCAGUUGAGCCCAAAUAAAUGCCCAAAUAGGUUGGAACACCUUCACCAAGCAGGCUGUGAGCUCGCCUGAGCACUGUGUGUGCAGGUAUGAGCUGUGCCACCCUGCCAAGAGUGAUUUGUGUCUGGGGCACAGUGCACAGUGGGUGAUCAAGUAGAAAUAAUUGCCUGUAAUUGGAAGCUUUUUCUUUUUCAUCAUGUCUGUUUUCUUAAUUUCUCCUUCUUCUCCUCCUUCAGGUUUAGCUGUUGGGGAAUGCAUUUUGUGUGGUAAACACCCCACAACCCGUGCUAGGGGGAGAAGGGAAAGCAAAUUGCAUUGUGUUUGGGUGUGCUCAACAAAUGCUGAUAGUGGUUUUAUCAGGGCAAAAAAGGAGGAGAAAAGCUGCAAAGCUUUGCAGAUAGAGAGGGCAGAGUGCCAUGACAGAUAAUUGGGUGGUUCCAGUGAGGGGAGAAACAGCAGGAGAGCAGCAGGUGGUGGGGUUGUCCUGGAAUGUGUUUGCAGAGCUGUGGAACAGAGGAGAAAGUUGGAGCCAGGUAUCAUGGAGCCAGGUAUCUCCUUGAGUGUGAGCAGCAAGAGGAUCGUAAGCCUGAUUUUUUAUUCAGGAGGUCUCCAAGCAUUUUAAAAGGAAGGCAUUAUCACAGGUUAAGAAAUUUCCCGUCUUGAGGCAUCAGUGGCUAAGUUCAGAGGCAGCCAGAGGAACCUGUGAGCGUUGAGCCUUUGUCACAAGCUUUCCUCCCCAAAAGUCUGUGCUCUAGACCUUGGCCUCUCUCCCAGAGCCCUGCGCUGACCAGACGGGUGAUGGGGAGUUCACUGGAGGCCUGCCAUGUCCCACGAGGUGGCAGCAGGACAUGUUGCCUCCUGUGGCCACUGCUGUCAGCUGGACUGCCUUUGGGAGGGAGGAUGCUGGCAAGCCAAGUGGCCUUUCAAAGCAGGCUGGAACUUUAAGGGGUGUCAGUCCAUGUGAGACCUCUGUUCCUGCCCUGACUUCUCAGAGUUUGGGGAGGAGUUCACUUUCAGUCCAGAAACAUCUGGUGCCUUUUCUUCUUCUGCCAGCACCAUUAAAUGUCGAGUUGAAGGGAAACACCAUACAUCACCUUCCUCGUGGGCUGCCAUUCAGCCAAGAGUUACAGAGAUUAGCCUUCAAUCACACGAGGGCUGGAGCUGAAGGAAACCUUCCCGAGGACACGCUGGAGAAACAUUUUCAUUAGCAGAGGAGAGCGUGAUGGAGAUGAAGUGGCCCUUCACCUCGGCUGCCAGACCUCUCUCCUGCCUGGUGCUAACAGGACAGGGAAUGCUAACCGAGGAGCUGGGGCCAGCUGCAGGGCUCUGAGUGCUGUCUGCACUGUUCCUCCAGAUGUGAGGAACAGCUGUGACACAGCAAAGCAGCGCUUUUAUAGUCUGGUAGGGGUGGUCUUGGUUUUCCUCCUACCUGUGAGCUCUCACUGCUGGAAAUAAACUGUCCCUCUUGACUGAAAGGAGAAAACCUGUGCUAGGGCACAUACCUGGGUGGGUGUGGGCCAGAAAAACAAUGUCCUUGGGUGGCAGUGUCCGUGGGGCCAGGAGGUAUCCCAGCCUCUGCCUCCUGCAGUACGUCUUCAAAUCUAACAGGGCUGCCUUGGUGGUAGUAGGGGCUUUCUCUGCUCCAUGGAAAGCUGCUCCACAGCUCUUUGCUCUUACUCUGCCUCUCCCCAAGGCAGUUGAGGUGCCCAGGAUUCACUUCUGCUGUUGAUGUUGACGAAACACCCCCUGGACCCCAGCUGGGUGCCCGGCACAGACCUGUCUGUCCCAGUUAAUGGGAAUUAACCAGCAGGAUCCCUGCAGCUCUGUCUGCCGCCCCCCACCACCUCACCUCCCUGGGGCUGGCGUGCUCCUGACAAAGGCAGGCUCCAUCUCUUUCACUCACAGCUGAAGGAUGCCUUGCCUGCUUCUAUCUUGCAGGUUGGAGGGAAAUUGUUUUAAUUUGUGUGGCACAUUCCUUUGGGCAUAAACUGGGGGAAGAAAAGAAAAAAUCCCAAAGAAAGUCUGGCCAUUAUGGGUAUUUUUAGUUGUUUGCAAAGGACCAUUAAUAUCUCUUUCUCUGUCUUUUUUUUUUAAAUUCCCUGCAGACUGUUCUCUCUCACGGGCUGCCUGUGGUGCUGCAUUAACAUCACAUCUCUGUGGUGAAGGUAAGCUAGUUCUCAGUGCUCCCUGAGACACAGACGCAGAGGGAGCCCCAUCUCUCCUCUUCACUCUCCCUGGGUUUCCACCACAUGCACAGCCUCUGAGAAGGAGCUCCCUGGCUGGGAGGGUGAAGGCUUGGAGCUAUUUAUGCCUUUUGGGAUGGGUUUUAUCAGGAAUGGGAUUCGAGCUCCCUGAGAGGGAGGUGACACAGGCUGGCAGCUAGGGAAUUGGUUUGGAACUUCAGAACAAAUGGCUGGUAUAAUUUUGGAGCAUUCUCUUGUUAAGUUACCUCUCAUGUCGCCCUCCUCCAUUUCAGAACUGAGAGGAAAACAUGGCUCCUGAGCAAUUUUUCCCCCUGUGAUGCCCUCACCUUUCUUGUUUUCCCUUUUCUCCUACAAUCUCAGCUGGCUGAGUUUCACUGCCAGCCUAUUGAAAGGAAAGGCACGUGCUGGCUUAUGGAGGGAGAGAGACCUGAGACAGGAUAAAUCUGUAUGCAGUGAGAAUGGGGGGAAGCAAGUCAGCUGCUCUGACACUUUUAUUAUGGAGCCAGGCUGCUUGGGGAUGAAUCUUUCUUGAAACGUGUUGCUGGAUGACAUUUCUACCAGGUCUCAGCAGUAACCUUCACCAAGCCUUGCUGCCCAGCCCUGUGCUUGCUUUUUCCUGGGACAAAGAGAACGAAUAUCAGCUGGAAAUGCCACAGGCAGCAGGGAUCAAUGGGGCUCGAUGCACCUCCAGUGAGUCUGAAAGCACCUGGACUUUCUCACCACAGAAGCUCUUCAGGCUUUGGUGACUUCAGCUUGUGGCUGCAUGUGUUGUUUUGCAAAGGAGUUGUGGGCUCCUACAUCUGUUUCUCAUUUCAGAAAUGAAGAGGAUGCAGCAGAGACCAAAAUGAAAUUCUCCUCGGAGCUGUCCAGAAGGAUGGAUAACUGCAAGAAAAUAAUAUUCCAUGGCUCUGGAAAAGGAGUAUCCACUUGUUUAGUAACCUGGUAAUGAGGUGCUGGCUGUGCUCCAUGCAGAGGCUGGAAGCCAUGGGAGGUUUGGGGUUACAAAGAGGGCUGGGCAGGGUUUGCUGCCCUCUCAGCUCCUUUGCUGUAUCGCUGUCAACUCAGAUUUCACAUCAAGAGGGUGAUGCUAUGGCUGGCAGUGACAACAGCAGAAUGUCACUGGCAGAGGUGAAGUCUUUCCCUCCAUCAGGGUAAUUCUCCCUUCCCUUUCCCCUUCCCCUUGGCUUGUGUUGGGCCCUGCUGGCUCCUGUGCUGAGCAGGGCAGGCCCACAUGCUGCUCAGGGGACAGCACACGCUGUGCUGAGCAGCAGUUCCUGCAGUCUGGGUCAGUGGCUCCCUGUCACUGCUGCCUCUUGGCUGCAUGGUGACCUGGGACAGAGGGAAACCCCUCGUCACUGCCUGAAACAAAUCGGGGCUGUGAAGCUGCAAUGUUUGCCCCCAUGGCAGCACUGCACAGAGUGGUCCUCUGCCAUGCUGGCAGGCUUGUACCAGAGAUGUCCCUUCAGAGCCCUGGGGUCCCCUGUCCUUCUUAGGGCCAGGCCUAAGCUGGGUCUGAGGGGCAGACUUACAUGUUAAUGGUUCAUGUUCUCUGCAGGCUGCUCUCACCUCCUCUGAGCAGGAGCUGAUCUUGCAGGAAGGUGCCUGUGCCCACCUGCUGCAGCAGCCCCUCUACCAGCAUCUGUCCCCAGGGGCCAGUUCAGCAAAGCCUUGCUGUUGUUCUGGGUCCAGUUUUCAUUUUUCAGCUGGUUAUGGAAAAAAGGGUAAAGGUACCUGCUGCUGCCAGGCCACAGUAGAAAACAGAGGAAGGGGAUUGCCUUCUUAGUGUGCUUAAAGAUCCAAAAAUUUAAUCUGACUGCUUCUCUCUCAGCCCUGAUCCUGUUGUAUCUUUUCCAUCUGAUGCCUGAGCCUUUUUUUGUUUUGCUAUUUUUUCUUGUUCCCUUUUUACCCUCACUUUAUGAAAAAUGGCUUUCCCAUCUGCAAUUGUCAGGAGUCUGCCUGAGCUGGGUGUACGGCUCAGUGAAUAUACAAAUGUGUGGUUGGGUCGUGGCCCUCCUGCCAGGCCAGAGAUGAAUUCCAAAUGUGCAGGGAGAAAGGCUUCUGCUGCCUCUCAUGGUUGUUUUUCUUAUCCCAAGGAGGUGUGAGAAUUGCCUUUGGGAGCUGUGCUUCCUUCUGCUCCUGCUCUGCUUACCAAGGAUCAGUUCUCUCUCAUCCAUCAUCAGAUGAGUCCUCCUUGCUGCUCCUCUCAGCUGCUGAUGGGAACGCUGGGGAAAGGGACAUGUUUUGUUAUCCUGCUUUUUACUACUAUUCUUUUCCCUCUGCCUUUUGCAUCCCUCCUCUUAGGCCCAUGACAAUGCAUUGGGCAGGCUGGGGCUUGAGGACACUUGCUGGUCCAAGCACUUUUAAAGAGAGUUAAGGAUGAGGUAGAAGGAAGGGCAUUGUUUUGUAGAAUCACAGAAUAUCCCAAGUGGGAAUUCACAAGGAUCAUUGAGUCUAACUCUUGUCCCUGCACAGGACACCCCAACAAUCCCACCAUGUGUCUGAAAGCAUUGUCCAAACACUCCUUGAGCUCUGGCAGGCUUGUGGCUAUGGCCACUGCCUUGGGGAGCCCAAUCACCCUCUGAGUGAAGUACAUUUUCCUAAUAUCACCCUAAACCUGACACAGCUUCUUGCUGUUCCUUUGGGUCCUGUUGCUGGUCACCAGUUUGACCUAAGCCCCUUAAGAGGCUUAAAAUGCAGCUUUGGAAUUUUUCAGCAGUGGUGCACAACUCCACAUAAGAUACCCUGAAAGCAGCCAAAUGCUCCUGCAUAUUUCAGCCUUGCUGUGUCCCCUUUCCCUGCUGCAGGUGACCAGCACUGUGGAGCUCUACAAGGAGGAGUUCACCAUCUCUGCUGUGUAACUGCAGGGUCACUCAGGUGCCCAGAGGGGGCUGACAGCCUGCCCUGACAGCCAGGGGUUUGCUGAGCUUUGUGCAGGCUGGUAUGUGAGCUGCUUCCCUCACCCCUGUGCCCAGAGGAGCUUACAGCCAGCGGGGCUCAGAGGAGCAGGCAGGCAGAAAUUGAAAUGAGCCUGCCCAUCCACGCUCUUGCCACAGUUACCUGGGCAAGGAGGGGAGGUUUCUGGGAGGGCAGACCCCCACUUUGGCAGGAAGAGAGAGCAGGCAGCUUGAGCUGAGCUCAUUUUUCGACAAGCAGAUGGAUGUUCAGUGGGGACCCACGAAAACCCUCUCGCUCCAGGCUGCAAGCCCACCAAACCAAAGUGUUGUGCUGACAUGGAAAAAAGCAUCGCUCCAUUGAUGCUCAGCCUGAAUUGCUUCUUCCAUUCGGUCCAGGACACAGAGACAGCCUCCUCCUGCCACCAGCUCCCAUGAGGAGCCGGCUGCACACCUGCAACCAGGCGAGGAGGGAGCAGGAGCUGUUGGGCCACGAGGAAGGGGAGCGAUGGCAGAUUCCUGCAGCAUUUCCACCCCGCGGGGCUCUUGGCGAGCGAGCGCUCGUCUGCUUUGAAAGCUCUUAGUGCUCCUGCAGGUGAGAGCCAAUUUGUCUGCUUUCCUGCCCAGGUGCCAUCUGUUUGUAGGAUUGCCUGUGCGGUGGAUGAGCACGGCGGGGAUGGCGAAGCGAAAAGGGCUGCUGGGGUGGGAGGAUGAGCCUAAAACUUUCCUUGGGUAUCUUCAGCACUUCUGGCUGCCGUUGUUGCUUCUGCUCUGCACCGCGGUGGGGAAAUCACAGCCUGUCAUUUGGUGUUCCUGGAGCGUGAUGGGGCGCUGAGGCACCGCUAAUAGCAAACCAUCAUUUUAAUGCUAAUUUCCUACCAUUAGCUCAGGCUGGGGGAGGCUCAGCCUGGGUGGAGGGAAGCCAUUAACAGAUGGAGAAAGGGGGGAUGUGUGGGGAUUUGUUCUGCACCCCCAGAAGGGACUUCCAAAGGGCAGAUGACUAACUACCACUGGGAAAAUUGGUGGGAGGCACUGGGGUCAGUCUGUGGUGGAUGUGUGGGAGGGAGGAAGAGCGAUGCUUUGCUCCGAAUCAUCUUCCUAUAGGCAUUUCUUGAGUGCUUCAGACUUUGGCUUGAAUUUGGUGUUUGUUGCUUGUGGCCAGCCCUCUGUGCCCUGUGACCCAAGGGAUGCUCAGAGUGCUUGCAGGGCUGCAGCUGGUGGCAUCGUUGUCCUUACAACAAAGAAGACCAGCAGGGCUGUGUUUAGCUGCUGUCAUUUUGGGAGGGGCUCCUUAGUGCAGGAGCCUGCGCUAAGUUUUGAGUGAUGGGCUCAAAGCAGGAAAAUUUGGAGCCGUUCAUGAGAUACCCAAGAGGUAAAAAAAGAAACUUGCCCUUUUGCCAUGAGUGCAAAGUCAGCUGUCCCAAGGUGGAGAGCUGGCAGGAGAAACCAGGGGCUCAGUUUGGAGUCAUGAAGGAAACCCAAUCAUCUCCUUGCCCUUUCCAGAGGUGGUAGUCCCCACAUCCAGCCUCUUGGUCAGUCUCCUCUAGCCAUGCCUGCAAAGUGGAGGAGCCUGGGCUGGUGUAGGUGCCUGGAACUCCAGGGGGGUUUGAAGAAAUAUGACUGGCUGCAGGACUGUAAGGCCUGUUUGGGAUUUUUCAGGCAGCAGUCAGAGAGGUUUCCCUACCAUUUCUAGACCAGCAUGGAAACGCUGGGACUAAAGAGAUGUCAGCUCAGAUGCUAUGCCUGUCUGGAAAGAAACUGGUUGCCUACUAAUGGGGGACAGCACUGUUUGAAGUCAAGGGCCCAGUGGUGUCCUGUCUGUGGUGUGACACCUCUCCUGAAGACACACCAGCCUGUGCUGAUGCAGACCACUGGCUUCAUCAUUUCAUAUGUAAGCCUAUGUGGAUAUUUUUUAAACCCACCUAAGGACCAUUUUAAAAUUCUUUUGUCAUCUUCAUCCCCAGAGAAGCAGGGGAAGGACAAUAGCAGCCACAAUAAACCAGGAACUGGUUAAAUGGCAAAGGGAUUGAAAGCCAAGAAGGGACCAUCCUGCCAGGAGGACAAUAGCAAAGGCUACAUUAGUAGAGUACCAGCUAUCAGAUCCCUCUCGGUGUGGAGCAUGACUCACUGUUUUUAAAGAAACUAUUUCCAUCUGAGAAAAUGGCUCCUAUAUUUUAUAAAGGCAGCUUUGGUUGAGGAGAGGAAAGGAAAAGUGAAGUGCUACUUUUUCCUAGUUGAGGAGGAUCAAACUUUCCUUCAAGCAGCUGAGCAAGGAAAUCAGUGCCUUACGUGUUCCCAAGAAUAAUACAAUCCAGUAGUUUUGUGGGGAGGAAAGAAGUCAGAAUAAAAUAGCAUUGCUCUUCCCAGUUGAGCACUCUGAAUAAUGAGCCUGCAGGCUGGAGGGAGAGCUCCCGAGAGAGGCGCCUGCGUGCCGGAGAUGGACACAACAAGUGUCUCACAUGGGUCGCUAUCUGAAGCGAUGUCUCUCUAAUUUUCUACAUCACUGAGAGCACAGCACAGCACCAUCAAUCAUAGUCAACCUCCCCUCAGAAAGCCACAUCCCACCUCGCUGUGCUGUGCUGUGCCCCUGUACUCCUGCCCGUGUGGGGACCGCAGGUGUCCCUGCAGCAGCACUGCAGGCACGGUCCCUCCCAGGGGUUCUCAUUCAUUGUGUUAGAGCCUGCCUGGGGUUCUGCCUGUCUCCUUCCUCCACCCCCGGUGCCUGCUCCUUGCCAGCACUUCAUUUCCAGAUGCAUCUUCCCCUCCUGGGGUCAGAAAAGGCCAGAUGCUCCCUUUAUCCCCAGUGAGGAGAAGGUGUGGGCUGCCUUACCUGGGAUAAACUCACUGUGUGCUGCCUGGGGGAGGCCUGAGGGUGGGCUUGGUGCUUGUACUGCUCAUCUGAGGACGGGGAGGUUGGCCUUUGCAGUUCCCAUGGAGCCACCAGGGCAUGCUUGGGGCUGGCUUCUUUGCCCCAGCUCUGGGCGCGGAGCAGCUUUCAUGCUGUGCUUGUCAUGCAAUGCAGCAGCUCUUGGUCCCUCAUUUCUCUUUUUGUGAACCCCCCUGCUCCUUCCUGGCCUGGCUGUGCUUGUACCAGACCCAGGGGCACUGCUUUGGCAGGAGCAGUGGUGGUGGCUCUUCUCCUGGCCAGGCACACUCCGAGAGUAGCCAGAGGGCUGGUGGGACACAGAUCUGUUCCUGUGGCUGCUUCUCUACUGCAGCACAGACAUAGCUGGUGGGCUUGCUGCCUCUUGCUUCUUUAUCUUUAUCACGUGCUAAAUUGGCUGCUCUUCCUCAGUUGUGGUGGCUCUUGGACCUACCAAAACCUGGCUGACUUGUUCCUGGUAUGAUGAUACAGAAGUUGUUUGACUCCAUGGGCCCAAGCUCCAGCUAGAAAACCAAGGACCGAGCUGCUUUCUUUGAGCACAGCCUUAGAGAGGAGCAUUUUCAGAAGAAACUCUUGGAAUUGCCACCUCCCUCUCAGCCUCUUCAGUGGUUUCUGCUGAGCAUCCUUGACCUCUUUCUCAGGCAUGGUUCCUUGCAUGUAUCAGCCCUGCUCUGGUGUUGUGGAGCUGUUGCUGGCAUCUGUAAUAGCUGCAUUGUUUACUUCCCAAGUGCCUGCCCUUUCUGUAAUGAGCUCUAAUUCAUCCUGCUAUGUACAGGGCUCCAGGACACCUGGAGCAAGGAGGGUGUGCCAUUAAACCACCUCCUAGGCUGCUACCUGGACCUGGGAUUGCUGAUUUCCUGGAGAUGUAAAACAGGGAGAACAAGGGGGACCAGAUGGAAAUGGGGAAUAAUUACCUUGCAGGGUGAAGGGGGCUGGCUGGGUUGGGAACUGCUGGGAGCUGACAUGCAGGUGCAGAUGGAUGGUUACGGCAGGCAGGGCAGAGGGAUGAAAGAUGCCUUUUUAAAGCAUCUGCCUCCCUCUCUUCCUCUGCUUUAUAACCUGUUUUUAUAGAGACUGCAUGAGGAACACAUUUUUUUUAUUAGCAGCUUGGGAGUGGAGAGUAAUAAAGAUUAAUUUUUUUAAAUAA